GCCCGUGUCACCGGGUUAGGCGCGUAACCGACCACGUGUUUGUUUUGGUACAUGCAAUGCGUGUGCAUGGUCACUUGGGCAAAUCCUUCCUGACUGGCGUCAUUCUGUGUGAAUUACCGGGAUGUCUGGUGUUGCAUUGUUAGAAUCUGGAAGUGUGGAUCCUCACUCCUUGAUCAAGCAGCAGCAGUGGCAGCAGUCAUUGCUGCCCAGAGGAGGAAGCAUCAGGAUGCAUCUAAGAGUGCUCAUUGGCUGCUGGAGGCGAUAUGUCACUGAUUCAACGUAACACACAAGGCAGCCAAUCACAGGAAGGUUUUGUGUUAUCACCAAGAAUGCCAUGAGACAUUGUUUACAAACUGUUAUGUGCCCACAGCCACCAAUCAUAGUAUUCCAGUCAUGGCCAGCAAACCUCCUAAGAAAAUAAGACCUUGGUUCACUGACACCGAGACCUUAGCCUUGGUGGAGGAGGUGUAAAAUCAGGCUGCAGUGAUUCUGGAAAGGCUGGACAAUAGAAUCACCACAGAAAAGAACAAGACUUGGGAGGAGGUGGCUGCACAUGUGAACACAGUCAGCCGAGUGGGUAGCUCUGAGGAAGUUUAAGGACCUACGGAGCCACGUGAAGAGCAAGGCUGUUGCAGAACAUCAUCAUGCUACAGGCACUAGUGAGUUCAUCAGCUUUGCCUAUCACACUCUUGUUAGCAUAGUUGCAAACCUAGCAUGGUGUGGUUGACACAUCAGGGGCCUAGACAGCUAUAGGGAUGGAAUUGCUGUGAUAUAACCAAACAGGUGUGAGUGCUCCUGCCAGUGAGUGAAGUUAUGGCUUAUGGUUCCAGGCCACACAGUAGGGAAUUCUUUCACUCUUUCACCAGUCUCAACAUGGCUUUUCUUACUUUUCUCAUCAGAUAGAGAUUGUCAUUGAGUAAUUUAAACCCAUAUUUACCCACUGCAAAUUAUUUAUAAUGCUGAUGGGAAUUUUUAAACAUCUAUUUUUGGGAGGCAAGUUAGUUUAGGUUUGUUUGGUUAGGUUAUGUUAUUUCGUUCUGUUAGAUUACAUAGGUUACUUUGGUUAACUUGGUUGGAUUAGGUGGUGGUGUAUGACAGCUGGCUGGUGGCCACAGUGAGUGGCUGCUUAUUUGUGAGGGCCAAUCUACCUUUUUCUUGUACAUAUCAGUCUGUUUUGUAUUAACUGCUUUUGUUUACUGCAAAUAAUUAGUUUCUGAGGGGAUGGUGGGUCAGGGAGUAAAAAGUAAUGGCUCAUGAUUUCCAUAAAAACAAGAACCAUAUUGAUUCAAAACAGGCAAAAAAAUACGAGAAAUAAAUAGUUUCAUCCACAUUAGAAAACUGGUGAGAGUAAAAAUUUGCCCACUAGCAGCAUAUUUGCUUAUUAUUUUAUCUUGACCAAACUGUAAACUGCAUAUGGAAUUUAGUUAACUAAUGUUUUGGACACUGCUUUAAGUAAUAUGACCAAAUUCCCUAAAUGACUUUGUUGCAUAAUGGGAGAUAAAAAUUGUUUCUUUCUGCUCACCCUUUGGGACCCAAACUUCUAGAAAAAAAUAUUAUUUUAAACAUGUUCUUCACUGUUGAGGUUAAAUAUAUGUUCUACAUUGUUGAGGAAGAGUUAGGUUAGGGUAGGUUGUUAGGUUGGUUAGCUAGGCUGGACUGAUGGUAGCAAUGCUUAAAACCCCUCCAAAGUUUGCUGUUGUGUACAUGUUGUAAUUUAAUGUUGGUGCUGUGUAAAAUUUAUCCAGAUAGUUGAUAACCAUAACCAAGAACCUGCUAAGCACUGGAUUAUAGAUAGCAGUGUGUACAGUAAGUACCUGUGGCAGUCAGGUCUGAGAUGGUGACCACUGCAGUGAUUAAAAUCUUCAAGAUGAGUACUUACACAUUCAAGUAUUACAACAGGUGGACUUAGCUCCAUGCAGGUGAAGGAUCUCCAGAGGACACCACCUACACUGUUGUCCUAUGGAUGCUGUCACUAACAGCAUUUGCAGAACUGCCAGUCCCUGACAGGGAGGGAGACACAUUAUGAGAGUCUGGCCCUCUGUGAGGACCAUAGCCAUCCACCCACCAGCAGUGGUGUUACAGUCAUCCAGCCCUCAUCUGCUGGUGUUGCUGGGGCCUCUGGAUUCAUUGUUGCUGUGGGUGCAUUAUGUGAAGUUUUAGCAGUGGGCAUUAGUUUCUGAACUCAUGCAUCUUACAGAUGACAUCACCCAGUGGUGAAUAACUGUUGCCACUCAUUCAUGUUAACAUGUAUUCAGUUUUGUUCUCCUGUACAUACCUAUGAACAUUGUAUGUACAUUUAGCAUAUGAGCCAUAUUUUUCAAUGGUCUGUAUUACAGUUGAUUAAUAUGAUAAUUAAAUGCCUUAUUUGUGCAGUACAUUAUUAGUGGACAAUUUGUUUAACCCUCAUUUGUAUGCUGUUACUUCAGCUGCCCAGCAAAACUGCAGCAGAAGGCUACUUUGGCUUAUUUUUUGAGGAAUACAUCUCUCAGGUAUUUAAAAUACUGAUUCCAAAAGUGUGUCUUGACACCACCUUGGGUAUAGUGGAAAGGUCCAAGGAGCAAAUGAGGAAAAAGGACACAGCAGGAUAGCAAGACAUGUAACUUGACACACCGUCAAUCAUCACCGUCUGCUAUGUGUAGUGCUACUUCAUUUCAAAUACUAAAAGAUGAAGCAAAACCUGCCAUUUAGUACUGCUAAUUAACAGCUUCUAUAAAUAUUUCCUGUGUUUUUAUGUAUUGGAGGAAGAGACACUGAAUAGUGGGUAAAAUAGUAAUUCAGUCUUUGAAACGUGUGAAAUGUGGUAAACAUGAUCCCGUAGGAGUGCCUCAAUGUAAUUCAGUCUUUGAAACGUGUGAAAUGUGGCAAACAUGAUCCCGUAGGAGUGCCUCAAUGUAAUUCAGUCUUUGAGACGUGUGAAAUGUGGCAAACAUGAUCCUGUAGCAGUGCCUCAAUGUAAACACAGUUUUCAAGUGGUUUGGUGGCAAGGCUGGCUCUCUCAACAAUCCCCAAGGCCAUCACUGCUGCACACCUGUAUCUUCCCAGCAGAAAGAUAUCUGAGUGUUAUAUGUUCACCUUCAUUUCAGAGGUAAGUGGGUUGCUCCUUUCUGUGUCACUCUAUAAGGCUUCUCUUACUAGAUCGGUGACAGAGAGAAUACCUGCAUGAUCUACACGGUAUCUUUUGAUGAGUUCUGUGUCAUAAAUUCAUACAAUAUAUCCUAUCUGGGUAAAUAAUUCCUAAGCUGGGGUGGUUGUGGGUGGCCAUCUUGGUAGCAGGAGCAUCUGUCAUAAGCUGCUAAGACAGGGUGGACUCAGUCUUACCAUCCCAUGUGGAUUUAAGACAAGAAUGCUCCAUUCUGUCCUAGCUAUGACAUAUUUCAUAACUAAGACUUGCUAGGACUGCUUCAUAACUCCUAGAAUAGAAUACAAGAAGAGGUGUAAGGCAAGGACUGUACACAUGACUUUUUUUUUUUAAGGCUCACUGGCCAAGGGAAACAAGAGGAAAAAAGAUCCCACUGAGGGGUCAGUCCUGAAAGAGAUGUCAAGAGAAUCAUUGAAAUUUGAAGGAUAGGUGUCUUAAAACCUCCUGCUUGAAAGAGCUGAAGUCACAGAAAGGAGGAAAUACAGAAGCAAGCAGGAAGUUCUAGAGUUUACCAGAAAAGCGAAUGAAUGAUUGAGAAUACUGGUUAACUCUUGCAUUAGAGAGAUGGACAGAAUAGGGAUGAAAGAAAGAAGUAAGUCUUGUGCUGCAAGGUUGCAGGAGGAGGGGCAAGAGGAGGGGAGGCAUGCAGUUCGCAAGAUUAGAAGAGCAGUUAGCAUGAAAACAGCAGUAAAAGAUAGCAAGAGAUGCAACAUUGUGGUGAUGAAAAAGAGGCUGAAGACAGUCAGUAAGAGAAAAAUUGAUAACACAAAAAACUUUUGAUUCCACCCUGUCUAAAAUAGUGGUAUGAGUGGAACCCCCCCCCCCCAGUAAUGUGAAGCAUACUACAUACAUUGACGGAUAAAGGCCCAGUACAGAGUUAGCAGCUGGGGGGUGAGAAAAACUGGCAGAGAUGUCUCAGAAUGGCUAGAUUCAUAGAAGCUGUCCUAGCUAGAGAUGAGAUGUGAAGUUUCCAGUUUAGAUUAUAAGUAAAGGACAGACCGAGGAUGUUCAGUGUAGAAGGGGGGGACAGUUGAGUGUCACUGAAGAAGAGGAGAUAGUUGUCUGGAAGGCUGUGUUGAGUUGACAGUUGGAGGAAUUAAGUUUUUGAGGCAUUGAACAAUACCAAGUUUGCUCUGCCCCAAUCAGAAAAAUUUUUGAAAAAUCAGAAGUCAGAUAGUCUCUAGCUUCCCAGUGUGAAGUGUUUACUUCCUGAAGGGUUGGAUGUCUAUGAAAAGAUGUCCAAAAGUGCAGGGUGGUAUCAUCAGCUUAGGAGUGGAGAGGACAAGAAGUUUGAUUUAGAUCAUUGAUGGAUAAUAGGAAAAGAGUGGGUGACAGGACAGAACCCUGAGGAACACCUCUGUUAAUAGAUUUAGAACAACAGUGACCCUCUACCAAAGGAGCAAUAGAACAGUCAGAAAAGAAACUUGGGAUGAAGUUACAGAGGAUAGAAGCUGUAGGAAGGUAGUUUGGAAAUCAAAGCUUUGUGCCAGACUUGAUCAAAAGCUUUUGAUAUGUCUAAGGCAACAGCAAAAGUUUCACCAAAAUUCUUUAAAGAGUAUGACCAAGAUUCAGUAAGGAAAGGGAGAAGAUCACCAGCAGAGCAGCCUUGAUGGAACCCAUACUGGUGAUCAGAUAGAAGGUUGUGAAGUGAUAGAUGUUUAAGAAUCUUCCUGUUGAGGAUAGAUUAAAAAACUUUAAAUAGGCAGGAAAUUAAAGCAAUAGAAUGGUAGUUUGCAGGAUUAGAAUGGUCACUCUUUUUAGGGAACAGGCUGAAUGUAGGUAAACUUCCAGCAAGAAGAAAAGGUAGAUGUUGACAGACAGAGCUGAAAGACUUUGACUAGGCAAGGUGCAAACAUGGAGGUACAGUUUUGAAGAACAAAAGUAAAGACCCCAUCAGGUCCAUAAGCCUACCGAGGGUUUAGGCCAGUGAGGGCAUGGAAAAUAUCACUGCGAAGGAUUUUAAUAAGUAGCAUGAAGUAAUCAGAAGGUUGAAGAGAGGGAGGAACAAGGCCUGAAUCAUCCAAGGUAGAGUUUUUAGCAAAGAUUUGAGCAAAUGGUCAGCUUUAGAAAUAGAUGAGAUGGCAGUGAUGCCAUCAGGUUGAAAUGAAGGAGGGAAAGAUGAAGAAGCAAAGUUAUUAGAGAAGUUUUUUGGCUAGAUGCAAGAAGUCAUGAAGGGAGUUAGAUCUUUAAAGAUUUUGAUUUUUGAAGAACAGAGUUGGUAUGGUUCAGGGCAGAAAUAUAAAGUGCAUGAGAUUCUGGUGAUGGAAGGCUCAAGUACCUUUUGUGAGCCACCUCUCUAUCAUGUAUAGCACAAGAACAAGCUGUGUUAAACCAAGGUUUGGAAGGUUUAGGUCAAGAAAAAGAGUGAGGAAUGUUCGCCUCCAUGCCAGACACUAUCACCUCUGUUAUGUGCUCAGCACACAGGGAUGGUAAUAGCUCCUCAGCUCCCUCUGAUUAGCAGAGGCAAAAUGCCAGAGCCACUUUCACUUAGGGGGAUCCUAAGGAGGGAGUGGAGUGACAGGACAAGAUACAGAUAUGAGAUUGUGAUCAGAGGAGCCCAAUGGAGAAAAUAAGGUGACAGCAUAAGGAUUAGAGGUCAAGAAUGUUGGGCGUAUCUCCAAGAUGGUCAGGAAUACAAGAAGGGUGUUGCACCGACUGCUCUUGGUCAUGGAGGAUAUCAAAGUUAAUUAAAGGCCAGUUUGCCAGGAUGGUCAGUGAAGGGAGAGGAAAGCCAAAGCUGGUGGUGAACACUGAAGACUCCGAGAAUGGAGGUCUCUGCAAAAGGGAAGAGAGUCAGAAAGUGCUCUACUUUGGAAGUUAACCAACCAACAACACAAUGGGACAAAACUCCAGCCUCAGCAGCAUCUUGCACCACCACAACACAACACUCACUGAGAAUCACUUAUUACUUGUAUGAGGCAAGUGUGGACACAACAACAGCAACUUGUGUAAGCAAGCUUGACAAGAACACCAUAGUGCACCUCCCUGCAUGAAGCUGAGGGGUGUAUGCACGGCUGGAAGCCUCAACCUUCAUCACCCAGCAGCUGCCACCUCUGUGAACCACCAACAGCCUGAUGCAGAACUCAGGACACCAGUUCACACACUCAGCCACAGAUCAAAGCAAUAAGCCAACUGUGGCUCUGUAUUCUCAAACACUUUGGUGUUGUAUCUUAAUAACACUUAACUGGAUGAAGUAGAAGUUAUUGGAUUUUCAUGAUUCUAAUGAUACUUUAAAAAAGGAUUUUCCACUAGUGAGAAAAAUAUCCAGGGGGAACCUGACUAAUCAUUUCUGUAAACCUUGGAGAUUGUUGCAGUGAAAGCCCACAGUGUUUAAGAGUAAUGUUACC
Long non-coding RNA from Scylla paramamosain (green mud crab), 6486 nucleotides. RefSeq lists it as uncharacterized. The transcript is spliced from 3 exons. The record is from RefSeq and is a predicted model, not a curated record. Lineage: Eukaryota; Metazoa; Arthropoda; Malacostraca; Decapoda; Portunidae.